UACGUAGGGUGCGAGCGUUAAUCGGAAUUACUGGGCGUAAAGCGUGCGUAGGCGGUUCGUUAAGUCAGCUGUGAAAGCCCCGGGCUCAACCUGGGAAUUGCGGUUGAAACUGGCGAACUAGAAUCUGGCAGAGGGGGGUAGAAUUUCCUGUGUAGCGGUGAAAUGCGUAGAUAUAGGAAGGAAUACCAGUGGCGAAGGCGGCCUCCUGGAUCGAUACUGACGCUGAGGCGCGAAAGCGUGGGGAGCAAACAGG
RNAcentral lists this ribosomal RNA (253 nucleotides) under uncultured bacterium. RNAcentral's name for it is "partial 16S ribosomal RNA". It matches the Rfam family "Bacterial small subunit ribosomal RNA", at positions 524 to 776 of the family's 1533-position model. The record is from RNAcentral.